AACGAACGCUGGCGGCAUGCCUAACACAUGCAAGUCGAACGAGACCUUCGGGUCUAGUGGCGCACGGGUGCGUAACGCGUGGGAACCUGCCCUUAGGUUCGGAAUAACUCCCCGAAAGGGGUGCUAAUACCGGAUAAUGUCUUCGGACCAAAGAUUUAUCGCCUUUGGAUGGGCCCGCGUUGGAUUAGCUAGUUGGUAGGGUAAAAGCCUACCAAGGCGACGAUCCAUAGCUGGUCUGAGAGGAUGAUCAGCCACACUGGGACUGAGACACGGCCCAGACUCCUACGGGAGGCAGCAGUGGGGAAUAUUGCACAAUGGGCGAAAGCCUGAUCCAGCAAUGCCGCGUGAGUGAUGAAGGCCGUAGGGUUGUAAAGCUCUUUUACCCGGGAUGAUAAUGACAGUACCGGGAGAAUAAGCUCCGGCUAACUCCGUG
Molecule: ribosomal RNA, 433 nt
Filed under: uncultured bacterium
Lineage: Bacteria
Description: partial 16S ribosomal RNA
Rfam family: Bacterial small subunit ribosomal RNA
Source: RNAcentral